Gossypium raimondii (Peruvian cotton) is the source of this 1687-nucleotide long non-coding RNA. RefSeq lists it as uncharacterized. The transcript has 2 exons. The record is from RefSeq and is a predicted model, not a curated record. Lineage: Eukaryota; Viridiplantae; Streptophyta; Magnoliopsida; Malvales; Malvaceae.
CCUUAUUCCCAAAUCCCAAAUCAGUUCCUAUUUUCACCAAAAAACCGUGUCGUCACCGGUACCACCUCUACAUGUCUAGCGCCAUUGUCUGUAGACAGCCGUCUCUACUCCGGCGGCCAAUCUGUCUCCCUUUUUCUCUGUCGCCGGCACCCAUCACCUUUGCGUCGUCCCACUUGUUCUUCCAUCAAAACACUAUCGUCAUUUCGGUCAAGGUGCUGCUUCCCCUGUCGUCGCCUUCUCCUCUCCAGCCUUCAACCGUUUCCGUCCCGCUGUGCCGCUGAUCAAUCUCAUCCAAUUCCGGAUAUCUUCUAUUUCUAUCUAUACCAAUUUCAUUUCAAAAUUUCGCCAAAUGUGCUAACUAUUGGAGUUUCUAGUGUUCCAUAAUCUAUUAGAACAGCUUGUGUAACAAAAAGAACAGAAAAAAAAGUGUAUUGGUUGGCAUGUUUGACAUAAAUGGGCCUUGAAUUAUUCAUUAAAAAACCAGCAAACACUAGGAGAGUUGAAGCCUAGCACACUAAAAUAAUGAGCACCUGCUGGAGUUGUUUGAUGGAGUCAUAAGUAUUCCUUAUUUUAUAUUUGAAAUAAGUUUUAGGAUACCUGAUAAUAAAGUAGUUUAUAGGAAUAAUCCCAGGGUUAGGGUGUUCAUCAUUUCCACCUCAAGUGUGCACUGAAUUCGGUGUUUCAACUCAGAGCUUCAAAUUUAAGGGUUUGGAAUUUGGUAAAGAUUAAAAAGAAAUUCAACAUAUAAUAAAUUUGUUCUCCAUUUAUUACUACUAUUUUUUCCCCAAAAUUUAACUUUGCUUUUCCUAAUCUUAAAAAGCUAAAACCCCAUUUCAUCGAUUCGGGAAACUGAAGUCACCAACAAAGUCCCAACAGCUCGCUUCAUUCGAACAGCUCAGAGAGCAUUUGUCUCUGCUGCUUCGAAAACCCUAACUAAUGGCAGCCAAUCACAAAUCGCAUCUGCAUCUUCACUACUCCAAUUUAACCCCCAAACCCACAAAUCGCCUUUCACAGCCAACAUCAUCAGAAUCCUAAGCAACGAGAUCGAGUACCAGCACGACUACGCUCCUCCCCAUCAGGUGGUGCUUUCAGUUUCUUGGGCUGAAAGGUUCUUAUAGCAUCUUUGACAAAACAAUAUUGUAGGCCACUGGAAUGGUUAUUUGGAUAUGGAGAACUUUACCUCUUUCAUUAUCUCCUUAAAUGAAUGGAUUGUUGAUCAUGAGUAGUUUUAUGGAUAAGGAUCAAUGCUUUACCUUUACUAGAUACUCUUGAAUUUGAAGCUCCAAUUCAGAAGGCUUAUCAAGUUCAUUUUAUCUUGCGGAUUGACUUUAUACAUGGAAGGCUCAUUCAUUUGGUGUGCUAGAAGAUUGAAUCAUUCUUGUUCAAGUACUUAUCUCUAGUUUUUAUUUGCAUUUUUGUGUUGAGAUUUUCAUAUGCUCUUUAGUAAUGAGAAUUCUUGUAUGUUGAACAAGAGAAGUGACAUCGGGUGUAUGUUAGUUGAUUUAUUCUUCUCUAUUGGGACCGCAUGAAGUCUACUUGUAAGGGAGUUGUUAGGAUUUAGCCGAUGAAAGACAUGUAUCAAUUGGUUGAUUGAAUAAGAUUAUAUUCUAAGUGAGACUUCGUAGAUUGUAAGACUGUUGUGUUUGAAUUACAUUAACAAAAUUUGAUUUUAUUGUUUUUUUUUCCA